This is a non-coding RNA of Takifugu rubripes (torafugu), 46 nucleotides long. Lineage: Eukaryota; Metazoa; Chordata; Actinopteri; Tetraodontiformes; Tetraodontidae. The record is from Rfam.
CAAACAGCCUUUCUAAAGGCUACAAUCAAACUGCUGAAAGUGUGUU